This 253-nucleotide ribosomal RNA is filed under the name uncultured bacterium. Its description in RNAcentral is "partial 16S ribosomal RNA". It matches the Rfam family "Bacterial small subunit ribosomal RNA", at positions 524 to 776 of the family's 1533-position model. The record is from RNAcentral.
GACGAACCGUGCGAACGUUGUUCGGAAUCACUGGGCUUAAAGGGCGCGUAGGCGGACUGCCAAGUCCGGGGUGAAAUCCUCCAGCUUAACCGGAGAAUUGCCUGGGAUACUGGCGGUCUUGAGGGAGGUAGGGGCACGCGGAACUUCCGGUGGAGCGGUGAAAUGCGUUGAUAUCGGAAGGAACGCCGGUGGCGAAAGCGGCGUGCUGGCCCUCUUCUGACGCUGAGGCGCGAAAGCCAGGGGAGCGAACGGG